Long non-coding RNA from Bombyx mori (domestic silkworm), 409 nucleotides. RefSeq lists it as uncharacterized. The record is from RefSeq and is a predicted model, not a curated record. Lineage: Eukaryota; Metazoa; Arthropoda; Insecta; Lepidoptera; Bombycidae. The transcript is spliced from 2 exons.
UGCACAUGUCAGAUAUUUUAUGUGUACCCUAUCCUUCAAGUAUCUGGUGCGCACCGAAAGAAACUAUGCACACACAAUGACAUUAAGGUUGAUCGAUAGUAGAAAAAGUAAUUAUUAAUUAAUCAUAUUAAUUCAAAAGUAUCAGAAUACGAAAAAUUUCGAUGUUUUGGGCGCCAAAUAAAGAAUUAUGUUUUUAUUUGUUUAUGAAAAUGCUAAAUUAUGGAAACAAAUUGGAUUCACUCUGUGACAAAAAUUUUUUAUCGAAGUUGAUGCAAGUUUUACAUCCAAAAACUCACAAAAAGAGAUUUUGAAAACUAGCGGUCCACGCUGACCUCCUACGCACGGAUGAAUGUGUAUUAACUAUGUGUGUGACGAUAUUAUUUUGAAAAUAAAUUACAGUUUAAAGUUA